AGGACGAACGCUGGCGGCGUGCUUAACACAUGCAAGUCGAGCGGAAAGGCCCUUCGGGGUACUCGAGCGGCGAAACGGGUGAGUAACACGUGAGCAACCUGCCCCUGGCUCUGGGGAUAGCCUUCGGAAACGGGGAUUAAUACCGGAUAUUCACUGCUUCCUGCAUGGGGGGUGUGGAAAGUUUUUUCGGCUGGGGUGGGCUCGCGGCCUAUCAGCUUUGUUGGGGGGGUGACGGCCCACCAAGGCGACGACGGGUAG
Molecule: ribosomal RNA, 258 nt
Filed under: uncultured bacterium
Lineage: Bacteria
Description: partial small subunit ribosomal RNA
Rfam family: Bacterial small subunit ribosomal RNA
Source: RNAcentral